UCUGCCCAGCCCAGGAGCUCUGCACAUGCGUACUUAUGUGUGGGCAGGUAACUGGAAAAGAAGGUUGGGAGUGAAGGAACUCUGGCCUCAGAGGCUCUGAAACCUGGGUUUCAGUGCGCUGCCAGCUGCCUCGUCUGCUUCUCAGAGAGUCAGUGCUAUCUCACUGAGCCAGCAGGAGGAGAAAAUCGCCACGUAUUCCCAACCCAGAGGAAGAAGAUCGCGACUCGCGUUUCCCUUGUGGGACAGGAUAAAGUCCACCCAGGGACACUUCAGUGAAGUGCAGCUCAGCUUUUCAUAACCGUGAGACUCCCCUGCAUCCUGAUGAAAGUGUGAAUGCAGCCUUCACGAUCACAAACAGUGUGCUUGAGUUUACCUCAUCAGUGGAAACUGCAGAAGUGAGCACUUCAGAGAGUGGAGGAUGAGCCUCUCCAUGGGAAAGCCACUUUGUAAUGACACUGGUUCCCUGCAAGAACCCAGAGCAUCCUUCAGAUCCUCACUGUGAGAACCAUCCAGGAGUGCUGAGCUUGAUGGGAUGAGAUCAGCAAUACAGCAGCAAUUCCAGAACAGCCUCCUGUGGUUUUCUGGUCCAGGUUGCUUCGACUCCAGAUGCUUUAUAGUAAAAUGUGUCACUGAAGAGAAGGGGACUACUGAUCUGAAUGGAAAAGAGCAAUGGAUUGAAACAUCAGUUCCACAGAAUCCAUGCAGCCUGAUAAGGAACACGAGAGGGAGCUCUGUCAGCUGUGGCUGCUCUCUCUACACCCUGGGCCCAGGUAUAAGAGGAAGUGUUGAGAGUCUGUCCUCCAGAAGGUAGCCUUCCUGCUUAUCCAUUGUUGUCUCAUGGAUUGAUAGUUACAGAAGACCAGGUAAUUAACUUUAUCAUAACAUAUCAUUGCACAUUCACACACGUCUCUCAGUGGAUAUAAAAUUUACUCUGUGUGUACAUACGAGUUCACAGUAAUGUGCAUAUGAGUGCAUGUGAGGAGCUCAGAGGACAAGCAUCAGGAGACUGUUCUCUCCUUUACCCAUAUGGGAUGUGUGGAUGAAGCCUGGAAUGGACAUCCUGCUAUCCAAAAUGCUAUUGACGUGAGUCAUUGAGGGUCUGUUAAGUUGUGUGAAUAGUUACACUCUGAAAUUUUAGUUCUGGAGCACAAAGCAUUACCAAGCUUUGCUCCCUCAAAGGUGAUUCUGAAUCAACAGGUUUCAGUCUAUGGAUCAAUCCAUCCCACACAUGUGGUGGCUAAUGUUGCAAUUAAUUAGAAGCUACAUUAUAUAGUCUGUUUCAGUGAGUGAUGCCCUGCACUGUGUCACACUCUGUAAAGAUAGACCACAGCACUGGAUGUGGCUCUAACUGAAAUGACUUGUCCCACACUAAGCUCUGUGCACAACUCAUCCUUAGCUUCCUGACUCUGCAUCCUCACUACCUCUACCUCAUCUCUUCCUCAAACAUGUAGAAAGUUCUAAGUUUAUUCUUCUGUCUUACUGGUCAGGCUCAAGGUCUGCACUUGGACUUUUCUUAGAAGGAAACAACCCAGGACGCUGAAGUUAUCCUUUGACUUAAUAGAUGGAGGGAGUUCUAUCACAUGCCCCACUAAAUACUUCACUAUAUCUACUGCAUAGAUACCCAUGUUAGGAUUUGAAAUUGAAAGCAGUAUCUGAUUACUCUGUAAACCAGGUUUCAACCAUGCAAUCCAUUUUGCAACAUAAUGUAACUCAGUAAAUGAGAAUUAAGAUUUGUAGACAUAAAAUGGCUUGGUGGAACAGUAGAAGUUAACACCUAAGAAAAAGUUUAGAUCAACUAUGAUUUAAACCUAGGCACAGAUUUAUUAAAUAUGAUGUUUUGGAAUAUAAGAUUAUUAUGACUGAAUGGAAACUUAGUAAUUACUAAAGAAGCAGACCUGAAACUGAUUAUGUCCAUGAUAUGUUAAUUAGGCAAACACCAACCUAAAUUUUUUUCUUUUUAUUGAUUUAUUUAUUUUUAAAUUUAAAUUAGAAAAAAAGGUUGCU
Molecule: long non-coding RNA, 2004 nt
Organism: Mesocricetus auratus (golden hamster)
Lineage: Eukaryota; Metazoa; Chordata; Mammalia; Rodentia; Cricetidae
Exons: 5
Source: RefSeq, a predicted model, not a curated record